Molecule: long non-coding RNA, 519 nt
Filed under: Olea europaea subsp. europaea
Lineage: Eukaryota; Viridiplantae; Streptophyta; Magnoliopsida; Lamiales; Oleaceae
Source: RNAcentral
AUGAAUCCCUGCAGGAUCGUGCAAAAGCACUCAUUUUCCUCCGUCACCAUCUUCACGAUGGAUUAAAAAUUGAAUAUCUCACUGAGAAAGAUCCACAAGUUCUUUGGAAAAAGUUAACUGAAAGAUUUGAUCAUCAGAGGACUAUAGUCCUCCCCAAAGCCCGUUAUGAGUGGAUGCACCUUCGUUUGCAAGACUUUAAAACGGUUAGUGAGUACAAUUCUGAAUUGUUCAGAAUAUGUUCAAAGUUGACUUUGUGUGGAGAAAAAAUCACCGAUGAAGAUAUGCUGGAAAAAACUUUCUCCACCUUUCAUGCCUCGAAUGUGCUCCUGCAGCAGCAAUAUCGUGAGCGUGGCUUCAAAAAGUACUCAGAACUUAUAUCUUGCCUACUAGUUGCUGAACAAAAUAAUGAAUUGUUGAUGAAAAAUCAUGGAUUACGUCCAACUGGUUCUGUACCAUUGCCUGAAGCAAAUGGUACUACAUUGUCUGAAACAAAUACAAUAUCAAGACAAGGACGUGGAC